This 1163-nucleotide non-coding RNA is filed under the name Macridiscus multifarius. Its description in RNAcentral is "12S ribosomal RNA". The stretch from base 592 to 1028 matches the Rfam family "Microsporidia small subunit ribosomal RNA", at positions 752 to 1303 of the family's 1311-position model. The record is from RNAcentral. Lineage: Eukaryota; Metazoa; Mollusca; Bivalvia; Venerida; Veneridae.
UUUUUAAGUUUUAGUUUAUACAUAACACAUAUAUAUAUAUAUAUAUAUUUACCCAUAGUGUUGCGUUGGUGUUUCCUUUGAAUACACAUGGCAUUAAAUAGAGGUUAGAGAGGCACUAUCGUUAUAAGGAAAGAGUUGAUAAAAAAUUUAAUUGAAAGGAGUAUUUUUAUGGGGUGAAAAUAAAGUUUCUGUUAAUAAUUUGACUAGGUAUUUUAAAAAUAAUUCCUUAGAUUGACCUACCUUUGAGUUUAUUGAGGAAAGGCACUUUAAAUGGGCUCUACACCAGUAAAGGAUUUUUAGUAUAUUAUAGAAAUAUAGAAUAAGCAUGAGGAAAUUAGAAGAGAUAAAAAUUGGUGCCAGCAAUCGCGGUUAAACCAGUAUCAUCAAGCCAAUGGACUGAUAUCGGAUAAAAGUGAAGUAAAAAGUAAAACAGAUUAAUUUACAGUAGUAACGGUAAAAUGAGCUACAAAUAGUCGUGAGAGUGUUCGCGCGUGAACUAUCUUAAUUAUGGUUUUUACAACUUAGUCUAUCAAGGCUGCAGUUAAAGACAGGGACUAGUUCCCCUUUAUUAAAGCUUUUUAUUAGGUGUGCGGAGACUACGAGCAAAAAAGCUUAAAAACCAAAGGGGUUGGCGGCGUUUCAAAUCCGGUUAGGGGAACUUGGCGAUUAAAUUGAUGAACCUCGAAAAUUUUACCUUUAGUUUACCUUACAUACCGCCGUUGUGAUAGGCUUUUGUGAGAGAAGGGUUUUACUUAAUAUUUAUGAGUUAGAGUAAUUUAUUUUAAUAACUUUGUCUCUAUAGAAAUUCAGGUCAACGUGUAGGAUCUAAAGGGUUUAGCUGAGUUACAAUUUUUGUAAAAUAUGGAAUUAUAAAAUUAAGUUUAUAUAGAAAGUGGACUUAUUAGUAAAAUUUUAGUAUAAAUGAAGUUUGAAUAGUGUCAUGAAAUGCGUACAAAUCGCCCGGCGCCCUCACAUGUUGUAAGAUGAGGUAAGUCGUAACAUAGUAAUGCUAGUAGAAACUGGCGUUAAGUAAAUAGAUUAAUAAGAAUUAUAUUUUUAGGGAAUAUAACUAUAUAGGUUUUGGGAUAUACUUCGCUGGUAGAAGUUAACUUGAUUAAUAAGAUGAACAAUACUAAAGAAGAUUAAACUAUGUUUAAAAAUCU